GUCUAUGGCCAUGCCACCCUGAACAAGCCGCAUGUCUAAUCUUGGAAGCUAAGCAGGGUCAGGCCUGGUUAGUAUUUGGAUGGGAGACCACCUAGGAAGACCAGGUGCUGUGGGCA
Molecule: ribosomal RNA, 116 nt
Filed under: Pteropus alecto (black flying fox)
Lineage: Eukaryota; Metazoa; Chordata; Mammalia; Chiroptera; Pteropodidae
Source: RNAcentral